This is a non-coding RNA of Stegodyphus mimosarum, 73 nucleotides long. NCBI's taxonomy places the organism in Eukaryota, Metazoa, Arthropoda, Arachnida, Araneae, Eresidae. The record is from Rfam.
GCCUUCGUGGUGUACUGGUCAGAACACUGGGCGCGUAUUCCAGAGGUCCGGGGUUCGAGUCACGGCGAAGGCG